This 2209-nucleotide long non-coding RNA is filed under the name Sus scrofa (pig). RNAcentral describes it as "lncRNA (ENSSSCG00070000780.1)". The record is from RNAcentral. Lineage: Eukaryota; Metazoa; Chordata; Mammalia; Artiodactyla; Suidae.
CUGGAUUCGGCAUGAGGCAAUCCCCAUUUCUGGUUGGGUUCUGGCCACAACUCCUGUUGCCCACAUUGCCUCUGGUGCUAAUUUGGUGAGGCCCCUAGUGAGCCACUGACCUUGCCAGGCCUCAGUUUGCCCCCGGGUGGUCCCACCAGGCUACAAAUACCACUGACAAGUAUGUUGUAAGAACAGUGAGAUGCCAUCUGCAGAGUGUGAGAUGCAGGUCUUUCCCUGUAAUAUUUUUAGCUCUGGUGCUUUGAAUCCCUCCCAACCCCACGGCUGAAGUGUGUGCAAUGCUUGUGGGUUGUCACACACGUUAAUUACCUGGCGAAGGCUAGCGACUACCACUUACUUUGGCUCGAUAACUUUAAAGAAAAGGCCUUUAUUCUCGUCGCAGUUAAAUGCAACAGCACAAAGCCGGAGAAAAUGAAAAGGAAAAUAGCUCAAGCCAAAGAAUAAAUGACAUUUCAGAAAAAGCAAAAGAGGCAGAUAUCAAGACCAAUUGUAAUUUAAAGUGACAAUCCAUAUGGUGACAUAAUUGCUGACUUCUGGUUUGUUUCAGGUCAGAAAGAGGCAGGUAUACACCAAGCCAGACAGGAGGUUCUGUGGCAGGGGGCAAAGGAUAUGACCUUGGGCAAUCUUUUAGCCUCUCUGUGCCUCAGUUUUCUCAUCCAUAAAUGGGAUGAUAAUAAUAAUGUCUCACUUGAAACUGAUGAUAAGAGAACAUGGAUUCGAAUGCACAGUUUCUAACAGAUGCACCAAAACUGGAGCCACAAUGAUUAGAGUCUGAGUAGAGAAAGCAACAAGGAGUUAUAGAAUGGAGAGGUGCUUCGGAGUUCCCAUCAUGGCAGUGGAAACAAAUCUGACUCGCAUCCAUGAGGAUGCAGAUUUGAUCCCUGGCCUCGCUCAGUGGACUAAGGAUCCGAUGUUGCCAUGAGCUGUGGUGUAGGUCGAAGAUGUGGCUCGGAUCCCGAGUUGCUGUGGCUGUGGUGUAGGCCGGCGGCUACAGCUCUGAUGAGACCCCUAGCCUGGGGACGUCCAUAUGCCGCAGGAGCGGCCCUAAAAAAGGCAAAAAGACAAUUAAAAAAAAAAAAAAAAGAAUUCCUCACUUUACAAUAUCCAAAGCCUCACUCACUCAUCAAGUAUUUUAUUAUGUACCAGGGAUCCAGAAGUGAACAAAACAAAGGCCCCGCUCGACUGAAUCUAACAUUCUAGUGGAGGGAGCCGACAGUCCAGAAGUAAACACGCCACCAGUGUAAGGUAGUGCUGGAUGUAGGUGCUCUGACAACGACAGAGCAGAUGAGGACUGGUGCCUGCCUGCGAAAGAGCCGGGUAGUGGGUGGUUCCUAUUCCACAGAGUGAUCAGUUGACAUCUAAUGAGGGGACGGACAUCUGAGCCUGCAGGAAGUGGGAGUAAGAAGGUCCAAGCAGAGGGGAAGAGUUCCAGGUAGAGCAGACAGCCAGUGCAAAGGUACUGGGGCUGACACUGAGAGACCCGAUUCCCUACAAUCUUAAAAAAAUGUAACCAUAUACAUUUCAUGAAAUAACAUUAAAACAUUUAAACAUGGUAAAACGCUUGCUGCUAAGCGAAAAUAUUUUAUUUUACCUGAUUUUGUUACAGCUGAAUUACAGCUCCCUCUUGAGAAGGGAAUGGAGGGGCAUCUCUCUGAGCUUCAGCGAGUUCACCUAUUCCACCCCUAGCCUGGGAACUGCCAUAUGCUACGGGUGCCGCCAUAAAACGCAAAAAAAAAAAAAAAGAGAACUGUGUGCCUAUUCCUCUGACUUGGAGAUCAAAGUGACACCAUGAAAAUGAAAGUUGUUCUGCUUCUGGUUUCAUUUCCUACCACAAGUCUGACCGUGAUUUCUUUCUUUCUUUUUUUUUUUAAGAACACAAAUCAGAUAUCACCUCCUGCUUAAAACUCUCCAAAGUCUCCCUGCUGCCUAAAGAAUAAGUGUUAGGCACCUGAAAACGACUUAAGGGGCCCCUGACUACCUGUAUUUUUUACACAGUCCCCCCACCAUGCUCAGUCGGAAGCUGUCAGCGCUUCUCCGGCUCUCGGCUCAGCUGCCCUCUGCCUACGGGUCCUCCUCCUCCUCGUCAAGCCUCAGCACCUGGCGGCCAGCACCUUGGGGGGUAAUGGCCCCAGAUCGGUGCCCCGCUGGCGCUCAGGUAGAUAAUGCGCCUAUUUCUAAGCCUCUAAAGCGCUUUUCAGAC